Molecule: long non-coding RNA, 10327 nt
Filed under: Homo sapiens (human)
Lineage: Eukaryota; Metazoa; Chordata; Mammalia; Primates; Hominidae
Description: HSALNT0334803
Rfam family: tRNA (bases 9745-9817)
Source: RNAcentral
GGACCAUCUCACAACCUUUUGUGCCUUCCAGAAAUCUGGACCAUCUCACAACCCCCAGAGUCUCAGCUACAAGGAACAAGUGAUAAUGCCAUCCCACUUUUAUAAACACACACACACACACAUGCAACACACACACAAUCAUUUAAUCAUUUUUAAUUAAUUAUUUUUUAAAAAUCAGUGACACUUUAGCUGGGCAGGUCUAGGUAGGUCUUCUUUGCUGGGACGUGUCUUUUUCUGUCCCGGAAUACCCUAAACUUGACAUUUUGGCAGCGUGAGUUUUCCCUUUGUGACUUUCUCCUUCUUCCCUUUUUUCCUCCUUCUUUGCAGAGAAUGAGUAGCCACUGUGCCUUGCCCUGCGCCAUCAAUGAGAAGAUCUGUCUUAGUAGAGCCCUGCUUUCCCGCUGAAGGCCCUGAAAUUACCUGUGUUCCAGGCCACCCACUAAGGAUAAACAAAGCUUCCCUGAUAUGGGGAAUUAGCCCAAGUGGUAGAGCGCUUGCUUAGCAUGCAAGAGGUAGUGGGAUCGAUGCCCACAUUCUCCAAGCUUUAUUAUUUAGGUACCCAAACCCGAGUCAGUGUCUGAGAGCAAGACACUGCUCUCAGUGUCUUUGGUUCAAGACAUAGGAGCAGCAACAAUACAGGACUGGUGACAGCUUCCUGCUGGCAUUCAGUAUAGUGUAGAUCUACUGUGUAAUUCAUUUGCUGUUUCUUCAAGGAGCUGUGAAACCAAGGGACAUAUAAAACUGCUCUUUUCUCCCUGAUUCUGCCUGCAGCUUGGUCCUAAAUGUGAGACAAUUGUGAAAAGUGGAGGACAGAGCCACCUGGUUAAAUACAGCCCCGGCUUUCUGGUGAGAGGAUUGAAACCAAGAUGUGUCAAGUAACUAGAAUGUGCCUGGACAGAUACUGUAGAAAGCAAACCCAUAAAGUUGUUCAUGAGCUUGUGGACACACCUGCCAGCUGUGAAUAAGUGGCUCUAAUCCCAAACAACUUACCUAAAAAGAGCCUGAGAGCUGAACUGUGCAAUGGCCCACUUUCCAGUCCUCACUGACCACUGGGUUGCACACACUUUGGAGAUCUCUGAACAGCAGUGUCAAGCCUUUCAAAUAGAGUUAUCUUCGAAACGACAACACAUGGAAGUCUGGUUGAUACUUGGAGCUUAAAUACAAGGCAAUUGUGUACCUGCAAAAACAAAAAUAGCAAUAUUAUCCUUAAGAUUUCAGCAAGACACAGUGUCUCAUCACAUAAUCCAAAGAAGUCCAGGUUACAAGCCCCAAAAUAUUCAGCAUUAUGAAAAAACAGGGAGAUCUUAAUUCACAUGGCAAAGAGAAUCCUCGAAUAACAAUAUUGAGAGGACACAGAUGUCAAAAUCAUCUGACACAUACUUUAAAGCAGAUAUUAUAACAAUGCUCCUAGAAUCGGGGAUAACAUUGGUGAAGUGAAUGGAAAGUUGGAAAGUCUAACCAAAUAUUUCGAAUAUAUAAACACCAAUUUAAACUUAAGAAUUAAAAAAAUGUAUUAACCAAAACUCUUAGGGGAAAUAAAAAGCUUAAUUGGAGGAUCUCCAUAAUAGAAUGCAGAAGACUAAGGAAAAAGUCAAUGAACUUGAAAACAGAACACGAAUACCUACAUAAUCUGAACUAUAGAGAGAAAGGAGGAUUUUAUUGUCUCUGAACAGAGGCUCAGGGACAAAUAAAAAAUAACAAAUCCAACAUUCACAUUAUUGUAAUCUGGAAAGAAGAGGACAAAGUGGUCUUUGUGGGAUAAAACUUUGAACAAUUAAUAGCUGAAAAUGGUUCAAAUUUGUCAAAAGAUAUAAACCAGAUUUUUAAAGUUCAGUAAAUGUCAAUCAGGAUAAACCCAAAGAAACCCAUAGCAAGGCAUAUCAUAAUCAAACUGCUGAAAACUAAGAAAAUACAAAACAAUUUUGAAAGCAGCCAAAGGGAAAUGAAAGAGAAACUACCAUAUGAAUGAUUGUAGAUUUCGCAUCAGGAACCAUAGGGGCCAGAAAAAAUGUCAUAACAUUCGGUAAGUAACAAAAGAAAAAGACAUAUCGACCCAGAAUGCUAUGUGGAGCAAAAGUAUCUUCCAGACAUAAAGGCAAAUAAAUGCAUUCUCAGUGGAAGGUAAGUAAAUACAUUCUCAUUCUUAGGAAGACUGCUGGAAAAGAAUUGGCAAAGAUUUGAGAUAAGAAAAAUGAUACCAGAAGGAAACUUAGAACAUCAUCAGUGAAGGAACAAAAGCAGAAAUAGAAAAUGUCUGGGUAGACAUAACAGACUAUUAUUCUUCCCUUGAGUUCCUUAAGGUAUGUUUGAUGAUUGAAAGCAAAAAUUGUAACUUUAUCAGAAGCAGUUGUCAUUAUAUCCAGAUGUACUACAUACAUAAGAUAAAAGGGUAAGUGUAAUGGGACUAACUCUUGAUGAAGUUUCUUUAUUCAACUUGAAUGGUAAAAUAUUGAUUCUAAGUACACUGUGAAAGGUUAUAUAUGUAUAUGGUAAACCCUAGACCACCUACUAACAAGAUUUAAGUAAACCAAAACAAGAUAGAAAGAGGAACAUAGAUGAAUUAAAACAAAGGGAAACAAGGUUAAUAAAUUAUUAAAUAAUAGACCUAUCUAAAAACUUAUCUAUAAUGACAUUACAUGUAAAUAAUCUAAAUGCAUUAAUUAAAAACUAGAGAUCAUCAGAAUGUGUUAAAAAUAAAUAUGCUGACUAAAGAAAGCCACCUGCUAUACACUUAUAUAUAAGAAUAAAAGUUAUAGAGCAGAUUGAAAGAAAAGAGUGGGAAAAGAUACCUCAUGCAAGCACUAAUCAAAGACAGCUGUGGUGUAUAUAUAAAAAAUCAGGCAAAGUAGAUUUGAAAGCAGAGAAACUUUUCAGGAAUAAUGAGGGCUGCUAAAUAAUUACGAUUGUCAAUUUUCCAGGGGAAUAUUGUCCCAAGUGUAUAUGAGAACACAGAGUUUCAAAACUCAUAAAAAAAAUUGGAUACGCAAGGUAAAAACAGAAAAAUCCAAUUAUAGUUGCCAACACUAACACUCCUCUCUCAGUAAUUGGUAGACUUAGUAGAAAACAAAUCAGCAAACAUAUUGGAGAAUUAAACCAUACCAUCCAGUAAUGGACCUAUUAACUUCAUAAUGCAAAAUAAAAAUUUAGGUAGAAGGCAAAGACAAAAAUUAAAAGAAAAGUAAGAUCAUGUCAUAACCAGGAAAUUAAGAGUAGUCCAGCAUAUAGAAGAGUGCUAUUAUUGGAAGAGUUAUUUAGUUAUUUUGAGACAUUUUUUGAAAGAGUUAUUUAGCUGGAAAUGACAGAAAGACUGAAAAUGGUGCAUCUGGAGGUGGAUCUUCCCUUGUCCAUAUUUAUUUUGUCUUUUUUUGAGGUCUAGGGUGUCUAUACUUCCUCUGAAUUACCUACAGUGUCUGACACAGAGCAUCUCCCCAGUGAAUAUGUACUAAAUGAGUAGAAAGUAAUUUAUAGAUUCAGAAGAGUUGUGCAAGAAUAAUGUUCAUUAUUUGACAAAUCCUUGAAUGUAGUGUUUGAAGGAAGACAAUAAGUCAAAGUUGACUUGAAAGGUAAGCCCAAGUCCAGACUCUUUUCUGUAAUCCCAGCACUUUGAGAGGCCAAGAUGGGCAGAUCCCGUGACACCAGGAGUUUGAGACCAGCCUGGACAACACAGUGAAACCCUGUCUCUACAAAAAAUACAAAAAUUAGCCAGGUGUGGUGGUAUGCAUCUGUAGUUCCAGCUACUCAGGAGGCUGAGGUGGGAGGAUCACUUGAAUCCGGGAGGCGGAGGUUUCAGUGAACAGAGAUCGCACCGGUGCCUGGACAACAAAGUGAGACCCUGUCAUAAAAUAAAAUAAAAUAAAAUAAAAUAAAAUAAUAAAAUAAAAUAAAAUAGUUAAACCCAGGCCGGGAGGGGUAGCUCACACAUGUAAUCACAGCACUUUGGGAGGCUGAGGUGGGCGGAUCACCUGAGGUCAGGAGUUUGAGACCAGCCUGGCCAACAUGGUGAAACCCCGUCUCUACUAAAAAUACAAAAAUUAGCUGGGCGUGGUGGCAAGCACCUGUAGUCCCAGCUACUCAGGAGGCUGAGACAGGAGAAUUACUUGAACCCGGGAGACAGAGGUUGCUAUGAGCCAAGAUCUCACCAGUGCAGUACAGCAUGGGUGACAGAGCGACACUCUGUCAAAAAAAAAAAAAAAAAAAAAAAAAAAAAAACUCCAAAAAGUAAGUAAAGAGGAGGUUUGGAAUUAGAUAUUUGGUGUAUGAAUGAAUGGGCUAAAGUGCAAAAGAACAGGCAGAAUAACUGAGCUGGUACAGAGGAAAAAAAUCACACUUAAAAUCUAAAAAUAUCUGCUUCUCAAUUUGGGCUUUCCCACUUAGCAGCUUUGGCACCUUAGAAAGAACACUUAACUUACCUGAGCUUCUAUUACUUCUAAAAAGUGCAUAAAGUGCAGGCUAAGACAUAGUUUUUUGGCAAAAUUCAGUCAGACUACAUCAAGUAAACUCCCUAAGUCUCCUAGUAUAAUUCAUGGCACAAAAACUGGGGAAAAAACAGGGAGGAUAUGAUUAUAAGUUCAGUUUGUGUUUUUUGUUGAGUGAAUGUCUCCAGCCAUAGAGAUGCAAGUGUAGAUACACAGUAAGAGUAGUAUGAAUGGCAGACACCUUGGAAGGCUAUUUCUUCCUUCAUUCAUUCAGUUGGUCACUCAAUGAACUAUCAUGAAUUGAGCACUACCUCUGUUUCUUAUCAACAAAGGAGACUACGGAAAAGAAGAGUGACUAAGAUCUCUGAAGAAGGGAAAAGCUAGAUGACUGGGCCACAAGAGGAAAAAAAGCAGCAAGACAGAGAAUGAGUAGCCACUGCACCUUGCCCUGGGCCAUCAGUGAGAAGAUCUGCUCUUAGUAGAGCCCUGCUUUCCCGCUGAAGGCCCUGAAAUCCCCUGUGUUCCAGGCCACCCACUAAGGAUCAGUAAAGCUCCCCUGAUGUGGGGGAAUUAGCGCAAGUGGUAGAGUGCUUGCUUAGCAUGCAAGAGGUAGUGGGAUCGAUGCCCACAUUCUCCAAACUUUAUUAUUUAGACCCUGGGUCUCCAAACACUCAGGUCUCCAAACCCAAGUCAGAGAGCAGGAUGCUGCUUUGGUUCAAGAUGUAGGAGCAGCAACAAUACAGGGCUGGUGACAGCUCCCUCCUGGCAUUCAGUAUAGUGUAGAUCUACCGUGUAAUUGAUUUUCUGCUUCUUUGAGGAGCUGUGAAACCAAGGGACAUAAACAAUUGCUCUUUUCUCCCUGUUUCUGCCUGUAGCUUGAAUGUGAGGCAACUGUGAAAAGUGCAGGGCAGAGCCACCUGGGUAAAUACAGCCCUGGCUUUCUGGUGAGAGGACUGAAACCAGGAUGUGUCAAGUAACUAGAAUGUGCCUGGACAGAUACUGUAGAAAGCAAACCCAUAAAGUUGUUCAUGAGCUUGUGGAUGCACCUGCCAGCUGUGAAUAAGUGGCUCUAAUCCCAAACAACUUACCUAAAAAGAGCCUGAGGACUGAACUGAACAAUGGUCCACUUUCCAGUCCUCACUGACCACUGGUUGCACACACUCCAGAGAUCUCUCAACCGCAGUGUCAAGGCUUUCAAAUAGAGUUAUCUGUGAAACGACAACACAUGGAAGUCUGGUUGGUACUUGGAGCUUAAAUACAAGGCAACUGUGUGCCUGCAAAAACAAAAAUAUCAAUAUUAUCCUUAAGAUUUCAACAAGACACAGUGUCUCAUCACAUAAUCCAAAGAAGUCCAGGUUACAAGCCCCAAAAUAUUCAGCAUUAUGAAAAACCAGGGAGAUCUUAACUCACAUGGCAAAGAGAAUCCUUGAAUAACAAUAUUGAGAGGACACAUAUGUCAAAAUCAUCUGACACAUACAUUAAAGCAGUUAUUAUAACAAUGCUCCUAGAAUUACGGGAUAGCAUUCAUGAAGUGAAUGGAAAGUUGGAAAGUCUCACCAAAUAUUUGGAAUAUGUAAACACCAAUUUAAACUUAAGAAUUAAAAAAAGUAUUAACCAAAACUAUUAGGGGAAAUAAAAUGCUUAAUUGGAUGAUCUCAAUAGCAGUAUGCAAAAGACUAAGGAAAGAGUCAAUGAACUUGAAAACAGAACAAGAAUACCUACAUAAUCUGACCUAUAGAAAGAAAGGAGGAUUUUAUUGUCCCUGAACAGAGGCUCAGGGACAAAUAAAAAAUAACAAAUCUAACAUUCACAUUAUUGUAAUCUGGAAACAUUCACAUUAUUGUAAGAGGACAAAGAGGUCUUUGUGGGAUAAAACUGUGAAGAAUUAAUGGCUGAAAAUAUAUCAAAUUUGUCAAAAGAUAUAAACCAGAUUUUUAAAGUUCAGUAAAUGUCAAGCAGGAUAAACCAAGAGAAACCCAUUGCAAGACAUAUCAUAAUCAAACUGCGGAAAAUUAAGAAAAUACAAAACAAUUUUGAAAGCAGCCAAAGGGAAAUAAAAGAUAAAAUACCAAAUGAAUGAUUGUAGAUUUCUCAUCAGGAACCCAGGAGCCAGAAAAAAAUGUCAUAACAUUCAGUAAGUACCAAAGGAAAAAUACAUUAUCAACCCAGAAUGGUAUGUGGAGCAAAAGUAUCUUCCAGACAUAAAGGCAAAUAAAUACAUUCUCAUUGGAAGGUAAAUAAAUACAUUCUCAGUCCUAGCAAAACUGCUGGAAAAGAAUUAGCAAAGGUUUGAGAUAAGAAAAGUGAUACCAGAAGGAAACUUAGAACAUCAUCAGUGAAGGAACAAAAGCAGAAAUAGAAAAUGUCUGGGUAGACAUAACAGACUAUUAUUCUUCUCUUGAGUUCCUUAAGGUAUGUUUGAUGGUUGAAAGCAAAAAUUGUAACUUUAUCUGAUGCAGUUGUCAUUGUAUCUAGAUGUACUACAUACAUAAGAUAAAAGGGUAAAUGUAAUGGGACUAACUCUUGAUGAAGUUUCUAUAUUCAACUUGAAUGGUAAAAUAUUGAUUCUAAGUAUACUGUGAAAAGUUAUAUAUGUAUAUGGUAAUCCCUAGACCACUUACCAACCAGAUUGAAAUAAACCAAAACAAGAUAGACAGAGGAACAUAGAAGAAUUAAAACAAAGGGAAAAAAGGUUAAUAAAUUAUUAAAUAGUAGAUCUAUCUAAAAACUUAUCUAUAAUAGCAUUAUACGUAAAUUAUCUAAAUGCAUUAAGUAAAAACUAGAGAUCAUCAGAAUGUGUUAAAAAUAAAUAUGCUGACUAAAGAAAGCCACCUACAAUACACUUAUAAAUAAGAAUAAAAGUUAUAUAGCAGCUUGAAAGAAAAGAGUGGGAAAAGAUACCUCAUGCAAGCAUUAAUCAAAGACAGCUGUGGUGUAUAUAUAUAAAAUCAGACAAAGUAGAUUUGAAAGCAGAGAAACUUUUCAGGAAUAAUGAGGCCUCCUAAAUAAUUAUGAUUGUCAAUUUUUCAGGAGAAUAUUGUCCCAAAUGUAUAUGAGGACACAGAGCUUCAAAACUCAUAAACAAAAUUGGAUACGCCAAGUUAAAAUAGAAAAAUCCAGUUAUAGUUGCAGUCAUUAACACUCCUCUCUCAGUAAUUGGAAGAUUUAGUAGAACACAAAUCAACAGACAUACUGGAGAAUUGAACCAUGCCAUCCAGUAAUGGACCUAUCAAUUUCAUAAUGCAAAAUAAAAAUUCAGGUAGAAAGCAAAGACAAAAAUUAAAAGAAAAGCAAGAUCAUGUUAUAAUCAGAAAAUUAAGAGUAGUCCAGCAUAUAGAAGGGUGCUAUUAUUGAAAGAGUUUGAAAUAGUGACUUAGUUAUUUUGAAACAUUUUUGAAGGCGUUAUUUAGCUGGAAAUGACAGAAAGACUGAAAAUGGUGAAUCUGGAGGUGGAUCUUCCCUUGUCCAUAUUUAUCUUGUCUUCGUUUGAGGUCUGGGGUGUCUGUACUUCCUCUGAAUUACCUGAUCUUACUACAGUGUCUGGCACAGAGCAUCUCCCCAGUGAAUAUGUACUAAAUGAGUAGAAAGUAAUUGAUAGAUUCAAAAGACUUGUGCAAGAAUAAUGUUCAUUAUUUGACUAAUCACUGAAUGUGGUGUUUGAAGGAAGACAAUGAAUCAAAGUUGACUUGAAAGGUAAGCCCAAGGCCAGACGUGGUGGCUCAUUUCUGUAAUCCCAGCACUUUGGGAGGCCGAGAUCAGUGGAUCCCUUGACACCAGGAGUUUGAGACCAGCCUAGGCAACACAGUGAAAACCUGUCUCUACAAAAAAUACAAAAAUUAGCUGGGUGUGGUGGUAUGCAUCUGUAGUUCCAGCUACUCAGGAGGCUGAGGUGGGAGGAUCGCUUGAACUCAGGAGGUGGAGGUUGCAGUGAACAGAGAACGCACCGGUACCUGGACAACAAAGUGAGACCCUGUCAUAAAAUAAAAUAGUUAAACCCAGGCCAGGAGGGGUGGCUCAUGCCUGUAAUCCCAGCACUUUGGAAGGCCAAGGUAGGCUGAUCACGUGACGUUAGGAGGUUGAGACCAGCCUGGCCAACAUGGUGAAACCCCGUCUCUACUAAAAAUACAAAAAUUAGCCAAGCAUGGUGGCAGGCACCUGUAGUCCCAGCUACUCUGGAGGCUGAGACAGGAGAAUUACUAGAACCCGGGAGGCAGAGGUUGCAGUGAGCCAAGAUCUUACCAUUGCACUGCAGCCUGGGCAACAGAGUGACACUCUGUUGAAAAAAAAAAAAAAAGUUAAGCCCAAAAAGUAAGUAAGGAAGAGGUUUGGAAUUAGAUAUUUGUUGUAUGAAUGAAUGGGCUAAAGUGCAAAAGAACGGGCAGAAUAACUGAGCUGGUACAGAGGGAAAAAAUCACAUUUAAAAUCUAAAAAUAUCUGCUUCUUAGUUCAGGCUUUCCCACUUAGCAGCUUUGGCACCUUAGGAACACUUAACUUAUCUGAGCCUCUGUUACUUCUAAAAAGUGCAUGAAGUGCAGACUAAGACAUAGUUUUUUUGGCAAAAUUCAGUCAGACUACAUCAAGUAAACUCCCUAAGUCUCCUAGUAUAAUUCAUGGCACAAAAAAUUGGGGAAAAAACAGGGAGGAUAUGAUUAUAAGUUCAGUUUAUGUUUUUUGUUGAGUGAAUGUCUCCAGUCAUAUAGAUGCAAGUGUAGAUACACAGUAAGAGUAGUAUGAAUGGGAGGCACCUUGGAAGGCUAUUUCUUCCUUCAUUCAUUCAGUUGGUCACUCAGUGAACUAUCAUGAAUUGAGCACCACCUCUGUUUCUUAUCAACAAAGGAGACUGCGGAAAAGAAGAGUGACUAAGAUCUCUGAAGAAGGGAAAAGCUAGAUGACUGGGCCACAGGAGGAAAAAAAGCAGCAAGACAGUUACAGUUGUUUCUGGUCCCACUUUUAUAAACACACACGCACACACACAGACACACGCACACACACAAAAUCAUUUAAUCAUUUUUAAGUAUUUAAUCAUUUUUUAAAAAUCUGUGAUGCUUUACCUGGGCAGGUCUAGGCAGGUCCUCCUUUGCUGGGACGUGCCCUUUUCUGUCCCGGAAUACUCUAAACUUGACAUUUUGGCAGCGUGAAGUUUUCCCGUUGUGACUUUCUCCUUGUUCCCUUUUCUCCUCCUUCUUUGCAGAGAAUGAGUAGCCACUGCUGUUUGCCCUGGCCCAUCAAUGAGAAGAUCUGCUCUUAGAGCCCUGCUUUCCUGCUGAAGGCCCCGAAAUCACCUGUGUUCCAGGCCACCCGCUAACAAUAAAUAAUGCUCCCCUGAUGUGGGGAAUUAGCUCAAGUGGUAGAGCGCUUGCUUAGCAUGCAAGAGGUAGUGGGAUCGAUGCCCACAUUCUCCAAGCUUUAUUAUUUAGACAUCGUGUCUCCAAACACUCAGGUCUCCAAACCCAAGUUAGUGUCUGAGAACAGGAUGCUGCUUUGGUUCAAGACGUAGGAGCAGCAAUAAUAGAGGGCUGGUGAUGGCUCCCUCUUGGCAUUCAGUAUAGUGUAGAUCUACCAUGUAAUUAAUUCUCUGUUUCUUUGAGGAGCUGUGAAACCAAGGGACAUAUACAACUGCUCUUUUCUCCCUGUUUCUACCUGCAGCUUUGUCCUAAAUGUGAGACAAUUAUGAAAAGUGCAGGGCAGAGCCACUUGGGUAAAUACAGCCCCGGCUUUCUGCUCAGGGGACAGAGUUUGAGGCACUGCAGAGGAACCAGCCAAAGUAUGAGACCCAUAUGUUGAGAGUGACAGUGUAAAGUUCAAAAAAAUCAAAAUGUUUAAAGAUUUAUCAUGGGUCUUGAUGACAUGAUGGAAUCUCUCUACUCUCUGGACUGAUUAUGUGUGGUAAUAAAUUUACUUUUUAAAAGCCA